RNAcentral lists this long non-coding RNA (2069 nucleotides) under Elaeis guineensis (African oil palm). RNAcentral describes it as "long non-coding RNA (EGUI_LNC067310)". Lineage: Eukaryota; Viridiplantae; Streptophyta; Magnoliopsida; Arecales; Arecaceae. The record is from RNAcentral.
GGAUUUCAAGAUUUAGAAUUUUAUAGAAAAGCAAAUUCUUUCUUUCAUAUUCUUCUUCAUGGGAUAUAAUCACAUAGCAUCCCUACACGUCAUAAGAGCAUCCCAUCGAAUGAGAAGAAAGGGCCUUUAAACCCUUCUUGCUCCUAUGAUCGGACGGCCUGAUGAUCAACCCAAUCUAAGUACUUAUUAAUCGAAUCAUCUAAUCUAAUUACAUAUCACAUAUGCUUGAAUUUAGAUCCAAUAUAAAUUAUAUCAGAUUUGAUCACAAUCUUAGAUCACAUCUAAAUCAAAUCAUAAACAUCACAUACAAUAUAUAAAAUCAGAUUUUAUCAAAGAUCAGCACAAAUUAGGACAACCUGUUCACUGUAAGGAUAAAUCCUAUAGCAGGACAACCUUAUUUCAGUUUGUGUGAUCUAUCAUUAAUUAAAUUUAGAUCUAAAAUAUCAAAUAUUAGAUCUAAAUAAAAUUAAAUUUCAUAUUUAAUAUGCAUAUAUAACAUGUCAUAAUGAAUCUAGGCUCUGAUACCACUAUUGAAAAACGUAAACGAUUUCAUGCAUGUAUUUCAAAAAUUUUUGAAAUAAAUUAUAGUAAAAAAUCAACUAAAUUAAUUAUAUUAAUCUAACAUGCAUGUGAUCAGACCAAUAAAUCAAUCUACUCUAGGAUCUAUGACAUGAUAUGUUGCAUAUAAAAUUUGAACAAAUCAGAAGAUAAAAUCUGCAUGCAUACAUGUGAGCAGUAGAUCAAAUCUACUUCUAAUCUGAGUUCAGAACUCGAUACCUGAGCACGAAUCGAUGAUCGUCGCUGUUGAGAUAUAUGAUAAAGAGGAUCCUCACUAGUUGGUUACAGCCGCACAUGUGUUCGAUCUCUAUGGUAGUCCAUUCGAAGCUCUGAUCUGAUUGAUCUCUUCGAGAGUGUGAGCUCGCACGAAGACCAUCUUGUCAGCUGAUCUGAAUCCCUUCUUCAAAUUUCUCGAAUCUUUUCAGAAGUUGAAGGACAUCUGGAGGAGAUGAGGAUGAGGAAGAAGUAUGGAGAGGAGAUGCUCUUCUCUCUUCUUUUCUCUCUUCCCAAACCCUUAGGGACAAACCUUAGGAUUUCUAUGUUUUGCUCACCCCAAGAGGAGAGGGCUCUCCUCUUUCUUUUUCCUGCCAUGAUAUCACGCCCUAACCUCCUCACCAUGGAGAGUUAUUUAUGAUGUCUCUUACACGCAUAAAAAGGAAGAAGUCCCUUUUAUUUGGUACCCACGAGAGGUUGGGUUAGAAGAGUCCAAGAGAUGUUGGACUCUAGAUGAGUUGUCACCCCCUCACACAAUUCCAUGCCAUAGAAUAUUGCGACGCCCAAAACCAUCUUUCUUUCUUACGGUAAAUCAGAUCUCAUCUGAUUCCCCAUACCAAAAAUAUUCCUCCUUUUAUCGCACAAAAGAAAGGGAAUUAAGAGAAGUGGGUGGCAAGGUUUAUGGAUAAGGUUUGACCUUAUCCAUAUACGGUAGCCCAUUUAAAUCAAAUUUGAACCUACCUUUAAAGACCAGAUUUUAUCUAUCUUUGGACAUGAGAAAGGGGGGGCGGAAGACCUUUUUGCAUGGAGAAAACUUUACGCAAAACUCUUUUUGGCGUGAUGAGAAGUGGCAUCCAAUAUUUGGGUGGCGCAUAAGAAGAGUCCAUCACUACAUGGACUCUAGGAUUCUUUAUUUGAUUCAAACCAAAUCAUAUUUGAUUAAGCCCAAAUAAAUAGAUGAAAUUCAAUCUAAUUAGGUUCACAAAUCCUUUAUCAAAUCUUAAUCUAAUUAGAAAUUGAUUGAAUCAAAGUCCUGAUCAAAUCAGAGACAAUUCUCCCUUAACGACUAGGUCAUCUCAUAACCUAAUCGGAUCAAACCUAAUUGAAUUAAAUUCAAUUAAAUUUUAUCUAAUCCUCUUUGCUCAAUCAAAUUGAGCUAAUCAGCAAUCUAAUUCCUAAUUAAUCCUCCAUUAAUUCACUAACACUUAGCGAAUACAUUCAUUACAAUUUUUGUAUAAGGUUAACCAUCAAUCGAAUUGACGAUUAAAUUCUUGAAUGAUUCUCAAUCGUUGAUCAGC